This 301-nucleotide ribosomal RNA is filed under the name uncultured bacterium. Its description in RNAcentral is "partial 16S ribosomal RNA". It matches the Rfam family "Bacterial small subunit ribosomal RNA", at positions 509 to 807 of the family's 1533-position model. The record is from RNAcentral.
CAGUCGCCGCGGUAAAACGAAGGGUGCAAGCGUUAAUCGGAAUUACUGGGCGUAAAGCGCACGUAGGCGGCUUGGUAAGUUAGAGGUGAAAGCCCGGAGCUCAACUCCGGAAUUGCCUUUAAGACUGCCGAGCUAGUAGGUGAGAGAGGUAAGUGGAAUUCCGAGUGUAGAGGUGAAAUUCGUAGAUAUUCGGAAGAACACCAGUGGCGAAGGCGGCUCACUGGUCCAUUACUGACGCUGAGGUGCGAAAGCGUGGGGAGCAAACAGGAUUAGAUACCCGUGUAGUCCCUGUCUCUUAUAC